GUGGGGAAUCUUCCGCAAUGGACGAAAGUCUGACGGAGCAACGCCGCGUGAGUGAUGAAGGUCUUCGGAUUGUAAAGCUCUGUUAAUCGGGACGAAAGAGCCUAGUGUGAAUAAUGCUAGGAAGUGACGGUACCGGAAUAGAAAGCCACGGCUAACUACGUGCCAGCAGCCGCGGUAAUACGUAGGUGGCAAGCGUUGUCCGGAAUUAUUGGGCGUAAAGCGCGCGCAGGCGGAUCUGCCAGUCUGUCUUAAAAGUUCGGGGCUUAACCCCGUGAUGGGAUGGAAACUACAGAUCUAGAGUAGCGGAGAGGAAAGUGGAAUUCCUAGUGUAGCGGUGAAAUGCGUAGAUAUUAGGAAGAACACCAGUGGCGAAGGCGACUUUCUGGACGAAAACUGACGCUGAGGCGCGAAAGCCAGGGGAGCGAACGGGAUUAGAUACCCCGGUAGUCC
Molecule: ribosomal RNA, 450 nt
Filed under: uncultured bacterium
Lineage: Bacteria
Description: partial 16S ribosomal RNA
Rfam family: Bacterial small subunit ribosomal RNA
Source: RNAcentral